AUCACGGAAGCCUAGGAGCCAUGACUGUUCCUCAAAAUAAGACUGUAACUGUAAAGCUUUUCUCACUUUUAAAACCAUGCACACACAACAAACCUAAGGCGCUAUAAUGUCCAAUUACGUAGGCGAGCUGCUGUAUGGAAGAUAUUGUCACAAUGCAUUCUCACAUUGCCAAAAGGUUCAUCCCUGGUGGUCUAGUGUUCAGGAUUUGGUGUUUUCACUGCCGCGGCCUGGGUUCGAUUCCCGGUCAGGGAAAAAGCACUGUUAGUAUGUUAUAGUUUCCUGUUGUGUUAUAUUACUGUAACCUUGAUCGUAUUUACUUGUACACUGAGGUCUGUGAUAUGCAGAUUUCCUGAAUAUGUUUAUGGCAUAAGGAUUACAAUUCUGUCCCAAUGCUUUGUGGGUGAGCCAAACAACCAAUGUGUAAAAUUGUAAUUCCUAUUUCGUAACAAAACUACGAACACUCUUACAUUGAAUUGGUCAGAAAGCAUCCCCCUCCUCAAAAGGCACAUUGACCUCUUUUCCAUGUGUAAUUCAUUUUUAUCUUGUACAAAGCACUUGAUCACAGAUCCUCUACACUAUACAGGGACUACAAUAUUUUCUAGGAUUUUACACAUUUCUGUUUAUGUUCAUUUGACAUGAAUGGUGGCCAUUUGGUUUCACAAGACCUCUCAACGCUAAUGGUAACAACAGACAAUUUUACUUUCUAGAUGUAUCUUUCAGACACAUAUUGAAACAUGCAGGAAGGUAUUUGGGAAUUAAAAUGUUACUGUAUUUGUGUUUCACUUGACGUACACGAGAUUUCUACAUUUCACAAGAUUCAAGAUAACUUCACCAGACUGCUUAGACUUCACAUAGUCUUUUCUACAGCACUUUUUGCAUCAACGUUUGGUUAAAUUUAAAUGUCAUGUAAUUCCGUUGAGGACACCUUAGAGGCCAUCACAGUGUUAACUUGUCUACCAAGUUUUGGAAAACGGAAUUAUAAUGUGCAUUGGGCAGAAAUCCAAACCAGGUCACCUGCUGGAGGGGUGGGGGGCAGCUGUUCUUACCACUAUCCUAGCAUAACUGGCCCUGCCUUGAAAGUGUGAUAGAUUCCCUCGAGUUAUUUGACAAAAGGUUGUUUUGCUUGAUCAAAUCUCAGUCUACAAAACAAUAACAGUGUUUGCCAUCCAAAACCUCUUGAUAUAUUGACCAAACCAAAGAGAUCCACACUGACCUCAUGGACCUUUAUUAAAGGCAAAUGUUAUGAGGCACAAGCAAGAACAAAGCUCCAAAGGAAACUUUGCUUGAAGUUUUGGUGAAAGGCAAGUUCUCGGAAGCCUAGAACACAGCCAACCACACUUUAGCUCCUGUGUAGGAUUAAACUUUGAAUUUUGCGUCUGCUUUGAAACAAAACUUAUGAGUCAUACUUAAUGAGUCUUUAAAGCAAUGUUGGUAUUUGUUAUCAUAGACCUCUUGCUACCUUCAGCAAACCAUGAAAACCACGAAAGUCUUAAGACUGACCUGCAAAAACUGUAUUAAAGACAAAUUGUACAUGGCACAUGUAAGACCAAAUCCCCAAAAUAAACUGUGGUCCAAGUCUGAGGUAAAGGUAGCAUCGCGGAAGCCUAGGAGCCAUGACUGUCCCUCAAAAUAAGACUGUAACUGUAAAGCUUUUCUCACUUUUAAAACCAUGCACACACAACAAACCUAAGGCGCUACAAUGUCCAAUUACGUAGGCGAGCUGCCGUAUGGAAGAUAUUGUCACAAUGCAUUCUCACAAUGCCAAAAGGUUCAUCCCUGGUGGUCUAGUGGUCAGGAUUUGGCGCUCUCACUGCCGUGGCCUGGGUUCGAUUCCCGGUCAGGGAAAAAACCCUGUUAGUAUAUUAUAGUUUCCUGUUGUGUUAUAUUACUGUAACCUUGAUCGUAUUUACUUGUACACUGAGGUCAGUGAUAUGCAGAUUUCCUGAAUAUGUUUAUGGCAUAAGGAUUACAAUUCUGUCCCAAUGCUUUGUGGGCGAGCCAAACAACCAAUGUGUAAAAUUGUAAUUCCUAUUUUGUAACAAAACUACAAACACUCUUACAUUGAAUUGGUCAGAAAGCAUCCCCCUCCUCAAAAGGCACAUUGACCUCUUUUCCAUGUGUAAUUCAUUUUUAUCUUGUACAAAGCACUUGAUCACAGAUCCUCUACACUAUACAGGGACUACAAUAUUUUCUAGGAUUUUACACAUUUCUGUUUAUGUUCAUUUGGCAUGAAUGGUGGCCAUUUGGUUUCACAAGACCUCUCAACGCUAAUGGUAACAACAGACAAUUUUACUUUCUAAAUGUAUCUUUCAGACACAUAUUGAAACAUGCAGGAAGGUAUUUGGGAAUUAAAAUGUUACUGUAUUUGUGUUUCACUUGAAGUACACGAGAUUUCUACAUUUCACAAGAUUCAAGAUAACUUCACCAGACUGCUUAGACUUCACAGAGUCUUUUCUACAGCACUUUUUGCAUCAACGUUUGGUUAAAUUUAAAUGUCAUGUAAUUCCGUUGAGAACACCUUAGAGGCCAUCACAGUGUUAACUUGUCUACCAAGUUUUGGAAAACGGAAAUAUAAUGUGCAUUGGGCAGAAAUCCAAACCAGGUCACCUGGUGGGGGGGGCAGCUGUUCUUACCACUAUCCUAGCAUAACUGGCCCUGCCUUGAAAGUGUGAUAGAUUCCCUCGAGUUAUUUGACAAAAGGUUGUUUUGCUUGAUCAAAUCUCAGUCUACAAAACAAUAACAGUGUUUGCCAUCCAAAACCUCUUGAUAUAUUGACCAAACCAAAGAGAUCCUCACUGACCUCAUGGACCUUUAUUAAAGGCAAAUGUUAUGAGGCACAAGCAAGAGCAAAGCUCCAAAGGAAACUUUGCUUGAAGCUUUGGUGAAAGGCAAGUUCUCGGAAGCCUAGAACACAGCCAACCACACUUUAGCUCUGGUUUAGGAUUAAACUUUGAAUUUUGCGUCUGCUUUGAAACAAAACUUAUGAGUCAUACUUAAUGAGUCUUUAAAGCAAUGUUGGUAUUCGUUAUCAUAGACCUCUUGCUACCUUCAGCAAACCAUGAAAACCACGAAAGUCUUAAGACUGACCUGCAAAAACUGUAUUAAAGACAAAUUGUACAUGGCACAUGUAAGACCAAAUCCCCAAAAGAAACUGUGGUCCAAGUCUGAGGUAAAGGUAGCAUCACGGAAGCCUAGGAGCCAUGACUGUUCCUCAAAAUAAGACUGUAACUGUAAAGCUUUUCUCACUUUUAAAACCAUGCACACACAACAAACCUAAGGCGCUACAAUGUCCAAUUACGUAGGCGAGCUGCCGUAUGGAAAAUAUUGUCACAAUGCAUUCUCACAUUGUCAAAAGGUUCAUCCCUGGUGGUCUAGUGGUCAGGAUUCAGCGUUUUCACCACCGCGGCCUGGGUUCGAUUCCUGGUCAAGGAAAAAACCCUGUUAGUAUGUUAUAGAUUCCUGUUGUGUUAUAUUACUGUAACCUUGAUCGUAUUUACUUGUACACUGAGGUCAGUGAUAUGCAGAUUUCCUGAAUAUGUUUAUGGCAUAAUGAUUACAAUUCUGUCCCAAUGCUUUGUGGGCGAGCCAAACAACCAAUGUGUAAAAUUGUAAUUCCUAUUUUGUAACAAAACUACGAACACUCUUACAUUGAAUUGGUCAGAAAGCAUCCCCCUCCUCAAAAUGCACAUUGACCUCUUUUCCAUGU
Girardinichthys multiradiatus is the source of this 3706-nucleotide long non-coding RNA. RefSeq lists it as uncharacterized. The record is from RefSeq and is a predicted model, not a curated record. Lineage: Eukaryota; Metazoa; Chordata; Actinopteri; Cyprinodontiformes; Goodeidae. The transcript is spliced from 2 exons.